This is a long non-coding RNA of Zonotrichia leucophrys gambelii, 2148 nucleotides long. RefSeq lists it as uncharacterized. The transcript has 10 exons. The record is from RefSeq and is a predicted model, not a curated record. Lineage: Eukaryota; Metazoa; Chordata; Aves; Passeriformes; Passerellidae.
GUCAGUUCGUUACUGCAAGGCCAAGGAAGAGUCAGUGGUUGGAGGAGCUGCCUACGAGAAACAUCAAGAAGGGCAGUGGGAAGGAGCUUUUCCUGAGAGCAACUUGAGAAGUCCAAGGUGGAGCAGCUUGGGCAGCAGCACCCACCAGGAAUUAGAGCUUCCUUCAGCGAGACUGAGUGCAAGAGAAGGAGCCAGUGCUGCAUGGCAAAGACAGAAGGAGUCUGACUGGGCUUUCCAAAGGUGCUAAGAGACAUAAGUUCCAAGAAUACAUCACUCCUUUCUUCUUUCUUCUUUCAAGAAAACAAGCGCUCUGUGUUUGUGGGGGUCUCCAGUUCACUCCCAGGGAAGUGCAGCUGUGAUUCAGAGCAGUUUCCUCAGCUCUCAGCACCGGGGUUGUUUAACCUUGAGGCUGCUGUGCUGUAUCAGUGGUGAUGCCUCAUGUGCAAAUGUGCUGCUUUGAAAUGCAGAGCCUGCACCUCCUGUGUCCUACCUUGCAGACUGCACUCCGUUUUCUGGAAGGUACUUGUGAUUUCUGGGUUCCUCUUCUGACUUAGACAUUGAUUCACUGUCUGGCCUUAGGGUGAAACUUGAUUUCUUGAGCCUUGCAGGAAAGGGUAACCUUCAAAUCCAGCAUCUUUGACUGGCAAGGGGCUGCAGACCCUCAAGGCCUUUUCUUGGCUGCCCAGCAUGGAGGCAGCAAUUUCAGAGUGCUGCUUUUUGUAACAAAAUCUCCGGGUCUGCAGCUUUUCACCAUGGAGUUGAGAGCUAAAAUUCAACAUCUGAGUAAAGCCAAAGCUUCUGGAUUGAAGCUGAAGCCAAGGAGCAUGAGCCAGGGAAACCAGACCCAGAGUCCCAGACACCAAAACCACAGGGAUGUGGAACUUUAGUCUCCCAACCAGCCAGAUAAUGUAAAGGCCCUGCAGAUACAUAGAAGCUUAGAAUCAGGGAUUUAUUGUUGGGUGUUCAAAUAAUGUCUGGAUGGACCUUGAAUUCAGAGCUGGUCCUGCAAAUAAGCCCAGCUCGCUAACAGCGACAGCCAUGAAAAUGAAUGAUUUGGCUUCACCCAAAAUGAUGGAUAAUCCUGCUGGAAGAGCAUGACAAUGAUAGACAGACAUCUUCUGAAGGAGAAGAUCACUCCAAGAUAUGAUUUGCUGAAAAUGUAUGCAUGCUUUUCAGGUUUUUGAUGCACAGGUAACUCCACCAUAGCCCCUGUUAGAUGUUAAAUGCUGCAAAUUCCAUCUGAGAUGCACUGAGACAAGAAGUCACUGCCCACCAGUGCUCCUGGGAUGUGCCACACAAGGAAGUGCCUUGAAGUUUUCACAGGACAUGAAUAAGGGGCAGGAGGACGAUCACUGCAUGCCAAAGUGAGUCUUUCCUUCAGAUCUGACUGGAUUUCACGCUGAUUUAUCAGUGCACUGUCUGCAGGCAGCAUUCUUGAGUUAUCCAGAGUUUCUUGGCACAGAGGAGUUUCUGCAUAUGCAGUUUUUGUUUGACAAGGGUUCUCCACUGUCUUUCCCCAACUGCCCACUUCAGAAUCCAAAAUAUCUGUAAAAUGCUCUGUAUUUUUCCAUGAUGUGCCAGUUCUCACCAGCUGUGAUUUUCCAAUAGAGUGAUGCACUAUAAGGCAGCCAACUGACUUGUAAAAGGAUAUGAGUUUGUGUGCCAAGGAGUUUAGCAUAAUGUUUCAACUGCAAAUAUAAAACACAAAGUCAGAAGAGAAGAAAUUCAAAAGUAUAUAAAUAUGAUAUGUAUAAAUAUUUUUUAUUUUGUUUCAAAUUUUAUUUUACUCUGCUGUGUACAUGGCAUCUGAGACACACUGAACAUUUUUAGCACAUAAGAAGUAAUUCACUUAGUUUAUGGACACAAAGCAGUGUAUAAACCAUGUAGCUCAAUAAAUGCUUUGUUUCCAAUUCUUAUGUGCAUGACAUAUCUGGAAUUAUUCCAGAAAUUCAUAUCAAGGUAAGUCCUGCCAGCAGAAUGAAGCUACAACAGAAGCUUUGGGUAACUGGUGGCACCUUUACCAGCAGUGCAGGGGGAAUGUGCUUUAGCACCAUGCCUGUGCCUCGUGUUCACACCUCUCCUCAAGGCCAUACCAAAGUGCCACUGCUUAACCAGUGUCCCCAUUGCCCAGGGGAGCUGUCUCACAGG